Eptatretus burgeri (inshore hagfish) is the source of this 2629-nucleotide long non-coding RNA. The record is from Ensembl. Lineage: Eukaryota; Metazoa; Chordata; Myxini; Myxiniformes; Myxinidae.
CGCUGCCUUCACACAUUUCAUCUCCUUAAAAAAAACAGUGGUGAGAAGACCUCAAGGUGGACGUCUGGAGUUCUGAAACUGCAAACAUGAUCGCCAUGUUUCGCCGAUUGGCCGCCCUGCUCUUCGGCACGGCCUCCGAGGACGAGCAGACAGGCGACGAGCCGCGCGAUCCCGAUGGGGCCUCGAAAGAUCCCGCGACGGGUGAAGUCCCAUCCGUUUCCGAGGGUGUGGGUGAAACUCUAAUGAGGGUAUCCGAGAGGGCAUCCCCCGAGGCAUCUCCAUCGAACCCUUCUGGCAUGACCCGUCAAUCGGCCAUGGCCUGCGGUCCACCAGAGCCACCACUGAAGGAGGACAAAUGGGUGCUGGUCCAACCUGCCGAGGGCACUGCAUCCCUUGGAGUUGAGAUUGAAGAUGGAGCAAUGGCUGUGGAUCCACCACCUGCAUAUGCUGAUUGUGGUGGUUUACUUGUUGAAGACACUGAAAGUGAUUUUGAGAGUGACACACAACCAACGCCAGAAGAAAGUGAUGCUCUCUGUCUUAAUAAUGGUGCAGUGAUGCAAAAGGGUGACCCUACACUUCGAUCUUUGCCCACCGCACGACCGCCUUUAAAAAGGUCGGCAGAAGCCCUCGGCCUUGUGCGCUUGAUGACCCUCGCGCCGAGCGCGAUACCCAAUGAACCGUGUAAUCGGAGGGCGAUGAGACGUCAGAACCUCGUCCACGAAACCCGGCCGGGCGGUCGUAAAGGUCCAAGGAGGACGAGGCAGCAAAUGCGGCCGAUCCAGCAGCCGAACCCCCGUGGUGGCGGUUACUGAUGUGGUGGAGGCAGUCGGGUUGUGUGUGCGGUGAGGUGGUGGUGUGCGUGCGUGUGCACGCGUGUUUUUUUUGUUUGUUUAUUUCGUAACUGCUGGAGCAGCAAGUUAUUAGGUGAUAAGGAUUGUAUAUUAAAAGUACAUGUGUAAUCUUGUUUUAUGUUGUUGUUCAUAUUAACCGAUUAUCAGGGAUUCAUAUAACCUGGUUAUCCCAUUCAAAGGAAAAGAGUGCCUCGUGUACUGGUACACAACACCGAUAACAUUUUAUUAGUUAUAAAGUACAGUAGUCAUGACCUUGAGUGCAAAGGGUUGUGUGACCUCAAGUUCACUUCGUUCUCAACUGAAUUGUAAUUGUAACACUCAGUUUUAAUAAAUGACUGUCCAAGAGUUAAUAAAACUAUUUCCACGAUUGUUUAUUGAUUUUUACCUUAAAUACAAUGAAGUAAUCUUUCACACAAUGCCUCUUGGAGGGACAUGGAAAGCUUUGUGGAUUUUAAGUGCCGUCACAUGUAUUGUUAGUGCAAAUCACGUAAAACCCGGAAGUGGAUGGGAAAAUGAAGCGGUACAGGGUGUCUCGAUAAAAUUUACAUACAGACAUCACCCUAAACCAUACUAUGUUGCCAUUGUUCACUGAGUGAUGCCGUGCGAUCAUUCCAUCGCAUGCUAACACCCUCUGUUCGGUAUUACGAAUGUUCAACAUCGCCCUCUUUCUGCUGUUUAAUUUCUCUAAAAUAUUAAACUCUGAAUAUAUAUUAUUUUUGAGACACCUUGUACAAAUAGGUGCAAGCAGUUGGGAUAGACUGCCUCGUCAUACUUUGAAAAUGACAGAUUCAGCACCUCCUCUUGUCUGAAAGUCGAACACCAUGAGCGUUUCUGGUCACAUGUGGCCAUUAGAGGAAGUUUUGUCCCCCUUGGUCUUAAACAUAUGAGAUAGAAUUGAUCAAUCGUCCUGAAGCUUCGUCCGAAUAACUAAAUCAAAUGAACACCUGCGUUCAAAUAUGAAGGUUUCCUAAUUCAUCAUUCCCGAUUGCAUGAAUGUGAAUGGAACGAUCGUUGCAUAAUGUUGAUGGAAUGGUCCCCGUAUCACUUGGCGUAUGUCACGUGUCAUCUCAUCGGUGGUGUUUCUCGCUUGGAGUGUGUAGGCCUAUUUGUACAUUGAAACAUGGCUGCUUUCAGCUUGCGUGAGCAACGUGUUCAAUAUGUGAGUGACCUCGAAAUUUGAACAUUAAAGUGGAAAAACUCCUGAUGACGUUCGUUGCUAACUGGUGCGUUGAGUCGACCAUGAACAUGAUAGAGUCAACCAUGGAUGUGAGAACCAUGCGGAGUUGGUUGAGGAGGUUUAAAAAGGGACAUCAAAGCUGAGUCUCACUCCCAAUUUGGACUCACCUCCACCAAAGGUCUUUUCAGAUGCUCGUGGCAUCGUCGUCGCCCAUUGAGUUCCAAAAGGACAAUUAUUACUGGCAGCAGUUACCAUGAGCGUUUGGAGAAAUGUUCUCUGUCUGUCACAUGGAAUAAAUGUCCAGAACUUGCAUGGUCAGGAUUUUGAUUACACCAUGACACUGUCCCAUUAUAGCUGCUUCUGAGAUGUGAGAAUUAUUCAGAGCACACGAUUAACUGCUUCCACAUCCACAGUAUUCACUGUAACUUGUACCCGAUGACUGUUGGUUGUAUCGUAGAAGAAAAAAAAAAUGACACUCUGCCUUCGUGGUUCCAACUUCUCCAACUCAGUUUGCAUCAGUCGAAUAUCCAAAAAGAAACCUUCAUGACAGCCUGAACAUCAAGGAUGGGCAGAUACUAAAAGUGUGUAGCACUUUGUGUGU